RNAcentral lists this ribosomal RNA (465 nucleotides) under uncultured Allobrachymonas sp. RNAcentral describes it as "bacterial SSU rRNA". It matches the Rfam family "Bacterial small subunit ribosomal RNA", at positions 910 to 1382 of the family's 1533-position model. The record is from RNAcentral. Lineage: Bacteria; Pseudomonadati; Pseudomonadota; Betaproteobacteria; Burkholderiales; Comamonadaceae.
UUGACGGGACCGCACAAGCGGUGGAUGAUGUGGUUUAAUUCGAUGCAACGCGAAAACCUUAACCCACCUUUGACAUGGCAGGAAUCCUAAGAGAUUGGGAGUGCUCGAAAGAGAACCUGCACACAGGUGCUGCAUGGCUGUCGUCAGCUCGUGUCGUGAGAUGUUGGGUUAAGUCCCGCAACCGAGCGCAACCCUUGCCAUUAGUUGCUACGAAAGGGCACUCUAAUGGGACUGCCGGUGACAAACCGGAGGAAGGUGGGGAUGACGUCAAGUCCUCAUGGCCCUUAUAGGUGGGGCUACACACGUCAUACAAUGGCCGGUACAGAGGGUAGCCAACCCGCGAGGGGGAGCCAAUCCCACAAAGCCGGUCGUAGUCCGGAUCGCAGUCUGCAACUCGACUGCGUGAAGUCGGAAUCGCUAGUAAUCGCGGAUCAGCAUGUCGCGGUGAAUACGUUCCCGGGUCUU